This 336-nucleotide ribosomal RNA is filed under the name uncultured Pseudomonadota bacterium. RNAcentral describes it as "bacterial SSU rRNA". It matches the Rfam family "Bacterial small subunit ribosomal RNA", at positions 29 to 351 of the family's 1533-position model. Lineage: Bacteria; Pseudomonadati; Pseudomonadota. The record is from RNAcentral.
AACGAACGCUGGCGGCGUGCUUAACACAUGCAAGUCGAACGCGAAAGGGACUUCGGUCCUGAGUAAAGUGGCGCACGGGUGAGUAACGCGUAGAUAACCUGUCUUUAUGUCUGGAAUAAUACACCGAAAGGGGUACUAAUACCGGAUAUUCUUGCUUUAUAUAAGUUUUGCAAGCAAAGGUGGCCUCUGACAUAAGCUACUGCAUAAAGAGGGGUCUGCGUACCAUUAGCUUGUAGGUGGGGUAAUGGCCUACCUAGGCUACGAUGGUUAGCGGGUCUGAGAGGAUGAUCCGCCACACUGGCACUGGAACACGGGCCAGACUCCUACGGGUGGCUG